Molecule: unclassified non-coding RNA, 379 nt
Filed under: Hevea brasiliensis (rubber tree)
Lineage: Eukaryota; Viridiplantae; Streptophyta; Magnoliopsida; Malpighiales; Euphorbiaceae
Source: RNAcentral
UUCAGUGCAUCUCCCAAAUUUCCAUGGCAACCACCUCUCACUGGCUCAACUCAAUUCGCCAAAUAACCAUGCUGAAACAGUUCAUAAAGCAAUGGAAGCGCGCAGCCCUCCUCUCUCCCUCACAAUACUCGUCUAAUUCCGGUUCAAGCCGUCACAUUCCCUCCGGUUUCCUGGCGGUCUACGUUGGACAAAACCGCAUGAGAUUCUUGAUCCCAGUCCGAUUUCUGCACCUUCCAAUCUUUAUAGCCCUUCUUGAAAAAGCAGAAGAAGAAUAUGGUUUCAAGUUCAGCGGAGGCAUUGUUUUGCCUUGUGAGGUAGACUUGUUCAAGCAAGUGUUGAGGUUCCUUGAUAAAGAUGAGAAGAAGUACGGGCGUUUACG